CACGUAGGGGGCGAGCGUUGUCCGGAUUUAUUGGGCGUAAAGAGCUCGUAGGCGGCUCAGUAAGUCGGGUGUGAAAACUCCGGGCUCAACCCGGAGACGCCACCCGAUACUGCUGUGGCUUGAGUCCGGUAGAGGAGCGUGGAAUUCCUGGUGUAGCGGUGAAAUGCGCAGAUAUCAGGAGGAACACCAGCGGCGAAGGCGGCGCUCUGGGCCGGAACUGACGCUGAGGAGCGAAAGCGUGGGUAGCAAA
This 250-nucleotide ribosomal RNA is filed under the name uncultured bacterium. RNAcentral describes it as "partial 16S ribosomal RNA". It matches the Rfam family "Bacterial small subunit ribosomal RNA", at positions 524 to 772 of the family's 1533-position model. The record is from RNAcentral.